Cuculus canorus (common cuckoo) is the source of this 5811-nucleotide long non-coding RNA. RefSeq lists it as uncharacterized. The transcript is spliced from 3 exons. NCBI's taxonomy places the organism in Eukaryota, Metazoa, Chordata, Aves, Cuculiformes, Cuculidae. The record is from RefSeq and is a predicted model, not a curated record.
CACGGCGCUGGUGUGGGUACGGCCGCCCAGCGUGUCCCUGCCCCGGCGCCCCCGGGUCCCGCCGGCGGCGCGGCUCGGCGCGCACGGGGAAACCCCGGCUCCUACCUGUUGCCAGGGAAACCCAGGUGUCUUCCCCGGCAUCCCAGCCCUUCCCGCAGCCCCCGGAGAGGAGCGGGGGUGAAGGGUCUGCGGGGGUGGCGGUGCUUGCAGCCAAUUUACCAAGAGAUUCGCCAGGCAGCUUUUCCUACAAGGUGUUGUCACGGACUGUUGGCUGCCUCCUCUUGUGCACCAGAGAUAAUGAUGAGACCAGCAUGAAAAACCUGUUGAAGCCACCAAGUGCUGGCACGUAGCAGUCUGGCCAAGAGAAAAGCAGUGGGAGAAAUAGUGUCUUGAUGGGUGAUAUCGCUGGGCAUCAGUGAUCAAAUCAGCUGUUUCGGGGAGUGGAUGAGGUACAAAAUGAGCUCUGGGAACUGCAGUUGAAAUGUCUCCCCGACUCCACACCUCCUCUCUACAGCCUCCAUAGCAACCAUGUUUGCAAAGAUUCUCAAAAAUUCAGUCUUUAGGGGAAAGUAAACCCAUAAAAUCACACCAAAAAUCGGAAAUAAGAAAAUCAGCUAAUUUCUACACAAGGCACAACAGGAAACAACACAAAUUAUGAACUUCUAAGUCACACAUCAAUUCCAGUUUUACAGCAUCAGUAUAGCCUUGUGAUGCCUUUAGAAACUAGCAGGGAGGGCUCUUCAGUGCUGCUGAAUGAAACCUGUGUCUAAUGAUAAUUUAAAGUAAUUUAUAACCCAUAAAACACUCAUGAUAAGGCCAGUAUCACAUCUGCUCACAUUUAUGAGUUUGCAGAGCUCCAUUCUAUUAAUAUAAAUAGUAUGAAGUUUAUUGAUGAGAUUAAAGAGUCUUUAUUGUUCAUCUUUCAUUAAAAACACUAAGAAAACGAUCUGCAAUCUACUGACAUCUAGAAUUAUGGUUUGUGUUAUCUGCAGAAUUUGCUUUGUUUGCAUAGAAUGCAUCAAAUCGUAAAUGAAUUACAGUGCUCUUUAACAUACAGCUAUGGCAUAAAUAGGCUGAAAGGACAUGCUAGGCGAGUCAGCAGUUUACUGAUUUGACACUCACUGCAUUUGCAAGGUUAACACAACUUCUGUCCUGAACAAAGAGAAAUGGGGUUUUCUGUUGUUCUCAUUGAACAAGAUGAGUGCUGGUGUCUGAAAGGAGAAAUGGCACUGCUGUCACAAGAGAACUUGCAUUAUAGCAGAGAAAAAGCCCAGGGUAUAAGUAUAAAAUUCUAUUCCUUCUGAGGCAGUAUUUAUGCAAAAUGUGUAUAUGUAAAAGUUCUUCCCAAACAUUGUUUUAUUGCCUUUCAUUCAAUGAAAAAUGUGGUUACAGAAAAGCAAGCUUCAAAGUUUCUUUAAAAAUAAAUUAUAUUAUCAAGCCUAAACUAGUAAAUCUCCAAAUACUCUGUAACAUCCUCCAGAAUCAAAAUGUGUGUUCUAAGAGAUCUUUUAUACAUAAGAGAUGAUACAAAUUGAUACAAGAACUGAGGAACCUGAUUUGAAGAAAUAUUCUUAGACCAUGCAAAGAGCAGAUGCAUCUAAAACCAGGUUUAUUUAUACCGGCUAAAUAAUACAAAAUACAUCACCAAAGCAUCAGGCAAAGCCAAUGUGAAGGCACACUUCCUGCAAUUAUCUUCUUUCUUUUUAAUAGUAUAGCAGCAACACUGACUCUGUUUUGCUGGAUUGUCAUUUCUGAUAUUGUACAUUGUCCAAUUCCUCUGCUGGCAUUUGGGUUUGGAUGUCUCUAGAUCCACACCACAGUGGCAGCAGCAUUACCCUCAUGACAUAGUGCUGCAAUCCCUACAACUGUGUAUCAUUAGUGGGAAAUCAUUUUAAUGCUCUUGUAAACACCAUCAGAGAGCCAGGAGACUAUUUGUGUUUGUUUUACUGCCAUAGACUAAACUGCCUUAUUCCAACCCUGUCCAUCAAAUUGAGUGUUGGACAGGCUUCAAAGUACUCUAAGCCUGCCAACUGCAGGCUAGCUUGAACUUUUAAUAGAAACAGGCAACCACUUUCUAGUGCAGACACUGCAAGAAUAUCUGUUGCAAAUAGGUGUAUUGAUAAGGUGCCCUUUCUCCAUUAUAAAGAAGCCUGCAUUACCCAUGUUGGAGGCACAGCAUUUUGCUCCAAAGGCUUUGUCACAGGUUUUAUACUUCACAUUUGCAUAGUAUUUCAGGUAGCUCAUUUUCCCCACAUGGAGAAAAUGUAGGUGUAUAAAAUACUGGAUCGUCUUCUUACAUAAAACAUCUUACAUUUUUGUGUGAAAAUACUAAAUAUGUUUAGUCCCAAAUCUUCCCCUCUGAGGUAGCUUUUGUUUUUGAAAAAGGAAGAAUGAGAAAUCUUGGCAGAGAGUUGAAAGAGAGAUUUUCUGACCCAGUCAUUGGAAAAGAUGGCAUGAUUUUUAGAAAAAGUUAUUGUUUACUUUCAGAAAGGCAAAAUAUUCAAUUCAGUCCACCACAGCUAGCUGUAAAACAAAAAACUGUCAAGCAAAACAUGGUUGAUGAGAGGAGUUUUCAAGGAUCCCUCAUUCCCCAUUCACCUCUAUCUGCCAGCAAAGCACAGUCCUACCUAAUUCCUAUUCCUCACCAGAGACGUCCUGAGGAGGUAGCAGGUGCUGGUGGAGAAGCAGGAAGCCACUGUUCCUUCCUACACGAGUCACACCAGCUCAUACAUGAAUUUCCUGAGGCUACUCUGAGCGACUGGAGAAUGUAGGUCAGCAAGCAGUCAUGUCCAGUUCCCCAAAAGGGUAGCAAGGCAGAAACUGGGCUAAAUUUCUCCUACAGCCUUGUCUGGGUGGGAGGAACAGGAGGUGACCUGGUAGCACAGGGAGCAGGAAACAUCAGCCUGCAGAGCCACCAGGCUGAAGCUUGAAGUUUCUUCUGCACAACAGGGUGGCACUAGUGCUGCUGUGGAGAUGUACUCCAGUCUACACUGAUAACUCUGCCUUUAGGCACUGCUGCUGGAAGCUGAGAAGGAAGCUUCAUUUGUCUAGUGAAUAGCCAGGUCUAUAUUAAAAAUAUUUGGUGGGAAGAACUGCAGUCACAGGGAAAAGGAAGGCACAGAAGUAAUUAAUGCAUUUUCUCAAUGCUGAAAAAAUGCCUGUGGGCAGUCUCCAGAUGCAACAGUGGUAACAAAAGAAAUUCUGAAUGACUGCCACACUCAAGCACAUUUGUUUUAGCCCUCGUUCUUGAUCUUUUGUGUUUGCUUUCCAUAAACAGCAAAGUGUUCAAAACUAAGAUCCACUGCUGAUGGAAAGCAAGAUAUUAGCUCGCCUCUUGGCAGCAAUCAAAAUUUGAAUUGUAUGUUUAAUAAAUUGGGGUUUCGAUGGUUAAUUUCAAGAGCUAACAAGAGUACUUCCUAGGAUUCGAGUAGCAGUCCUAUACAGGAGGAGCUUCAAAGUACAACCAUCGAAUAUUCACAAAUGCUUGUAACCUAUUCACUUGUGUCCAGAUGCUGUCUCCCUUACUAUGCUGUGCAGGAACUGCCAUUAAAAUGAGCACAAUUCCCCACAGAAAAUAUUACUUAACUUGAGUAAAGUUGACAGAAUCAAGUCCAUGGCGGGGGGAUGAGAAAACCCGGUACUAGUUUGAAUAAUGAAUGUAUCUGAGAAUAUCCUAAUCUCCUUAUGAAGAGAGAGGCAAAAUCUAAAUACAUUAUUCAUGAUGAAUUAUUCAGUCAGCUGUGUGUGAAUUAUCUUGGGAAUAUUUUGCUGGCUUUUAAAACUUCUCCCUUAAAACAGAUAAAUCUAGCUUGGGAGAAACAUUCCUUUUAGUGGCCAACCACAUUUUCAAACUACUCUGUCAGCAAAAGAUAAAUUUAGAACUUUUUUUUAGCAUUUAUUUCUACUGCAGCAGCAUCUAGGAAUCCCAACAAUAUAUUUGCAUUAUUGUAGCAGCAUGUAGGAAUCCAAAUAAUAGUUUCUCAUUAUCUUCAGUGCUGUACAGACAAAGAUGUGACUACAGUGGUGUUAGACUGAAAUUAAAGUACAAAUGCAUCCUAACAACAUGAGAUUUUAUAAGUCUGAAUCUAAAGCUUUGGAAAGAGAACUAAUGGUUGACUAACAAUUAUAUAUGUAUACCUUCGAGACCAUCUCUAUGAAAAGUAGUGCAUUUUCAAUGUCACACCUGGUUUAUGAAAUGAGACAAAAUUGUUUGCUACAACUCCUUCAAAAAGCCCUACUACCAAAACCUGAGAAGCUCAAGGGUACGAUGCAUCUAUGAAUAAACAAGAUAGCUGGAUUUCACUUUCUGAGCUCUGAAAUCCCUUGAAUAUAAUAUACCUACUAAAACCUUUUUUUCAGAGAUUUGUACAGUCAGACUUAUUGGGGUGGGAGAGGUUUAAUCCAUGCAUGAAUAAAGAAACAAAUGCACUCCAAAGUCAUCACAUUGCUUUGGCAUGACAGUUUACAGAAAAUAUUUGUGUCCUUAGCAGAGCAGAGAAGGAUAACACAACAGAUGUAGCAGUUUCUCCUUCACACUGUAGUGUAACUGAAUUGACAUGAGAUGGACUAGUGAGAAUGGCAAGGAACACAAGGAAAAAAAAUGUACAAAGUCCAAAGAAGAGACAAACAAAAUUCUCUUAUCCUUGUAAGCCAAGACAGAAGAAGGGAAAAGUGUGGAUAAGAACUGCCAUCACAGCUGGAAAAUGGAAAAUAGUAAUGGCAGGUCUUAUCUCGGACUUCAAUGAGAAAAUCUGCUCUGGCUCUGCAGGGGGACCUUUUGAAUUAUAUUUGUGAUUCUUACUUCACUUAUACAAGGUCGAUUUUACUUUACUCCUAUGCUCAUUCCUGGUUAUUUUCUCUCUCUUAAUUAAUACUUCAUAUCAGACUUUUAUUAAGAUAGAGGCAAAGCAUAUACCUUCCUCAUUCUCUCAAGGUUAUCUUCUGAAAUAGAAUUUAAUUCUUUCAGUGGUAAGACAGAGUGGAAAGUAUUGCUAAAUCUACAAGAAAGUUGUACUUCCACAAUUAUUUCUAAGAAUACAAAAGAUCAUUGUAUCUUGUAUCAGGACAAUCUAAUUAGCUCAAUGUCUGGGAAUUAAGCAGACUGCUGAUGUUGCUGGAGAGCUGACCUAUUUCAAUGGAAAAUGGUUGUCUUUGCGCAGUAUUCUCACUGCAGCUCAGCAGCCAAGUGUCCUGAACCAGCCUGAAAUUAAGCAUGGGCCCAUCACUGCUCAAAGCAAGAGCGGUAACUGGUUCUUUAAAAGCACAGCUGUAUCAGCUCUCAGCACGGAGCUGGUCAGUGUGUUAUGCAGCUUGUGCAGUGCUUGUCCACAGGGUGUGGCCUUUAUGCAGGGACAAAAAGAACAUUGAAAUUAAUAUUUCAUACACAUUUAAGGUGGCAAAAAGUUAAUAUCCAAAGUUUUGAAACCAAUUGGUCCUUGAAAAUUUUUUGAUUGUGUUAGGUUGGAGGAGACAAGCAUGUGUUGAGAACACAUCCAUGUCAAGACUGGGAUACUGGCACUGGUCCAUCAUGUAUGGCCCUGAAAAAAUAGUCUAGAUCAACUGAGGAGUAGGUCUGCAUCUCCUUUCCUUUGGCUUUUUUUCCUGGGGAGACAUCAGGGAAAAGUGAUUGAGGUGGUUAUGCUAUACCUGUUGACUGACUGGUGUGCAAUACAAAAGCCGAUAUGGUCAUAUUUUUGUACAGGUAUUCCCAGUUGCUGAAUUCACAGAUUUAUUUUCUAAACAAGUAAUUAACUAAACAGAGACAUAGAUCCAUGGAAUGUUUAGAAAGAUUUUCCAUUUCAGAGUUUGAAA